RNAcentral lists this small nucleolar RNA (107 nucleotides) under Otolemur garnettii (small-eared galago). Its description in RNAcentral is "Small nucleolar RNA SNORD116". It matches the Rfam family "Small nucleolar RNA SNORD116". Rfam says of the family: HBII-85 is a member of the C/D class of snoRNAs, which contain the C (UGAUGA) and D (CUGA) box motifs. The record is from Rfam by way of RNAcentral. Lineage: Eukaryota; Metazoa; Chordata; Mammalia; Primates; Galagidae.
UGAUUAAUGAUGACUUCCAUAUAUACAUUCCUUAGAAAGCUGAACCAAAAAAAAUAAAUAAAAUUAAUAAACUGUUUGGGGCAUCUCUUCUUGAGCUGAUAAGGCCA